ACUCCGAAACCCCUGUGAACAUACCAAUUGUUGCCUCGGCGGAUCAGCCCGCUCCCGGUAAAACGGGACGGCCCGCCAGAGGACCCCUAAACUCUGUUUCUAUAUGUAACUUCUGAGUAAAACCAUAAAUAAAUCAAAACUUUCAACAACGGAUCUCUUGGUUCUGGCAUCGAUGAAGAACGCAGCAAAAUGCGAUAAGUAAUGUGAAUUGCAGAAUUCAGUGAAUCAUCGAAUCUUUGAACGCACAUUGCGCCCGCCAGUAUUCUGGCGGGCAUGCCUGUUCGAGCGUCAUUUCAACCCUCAAGCCCCCGGGUUUGGUGUUGGGGAUCGGCGAGCCCUUGCGGCAAGCCGGCCCCGAAAUCUAGUGGCGGUCUCGCUGCAGCUUCCAUUGCGUAGUAGUAAAACCCUCGCAACUGGUACGCGGCGCGGCCAAGCCGUUAAACCCCCAACUUCUGAAUGUUGACCUCGGAUCAGGUAGGAAUACCCGCUGAACUUAAGCAUAUCAAUAGCCGGAGGAA
This 518-nucleotide ribosomal RNA is filed under the name fungal sp. BDG1-1-1. Its description in RNAcentral is "eukaryotic LSU rRNA". The stretch from base 138 to 291 matches the Rfam family "5.8S ribosomal RNA". Lineage: Eukaryota; Fungi. The record is from RNAcentral.